RNAcentral lists this non-coding RNA (111 nucleotides) under Nocardioides sp. RNAcentral's name for it is "TPP sequence". It matches the Rfam family "TPP riboswitch aptamer (THI element)". From Rfam's summary of the family: Vitamin B(1) in its active form thiamin pyrophosphate (TPP) is an essential coenzyme that is synthesised by coupling of pyrimidine and thiazole moieties in bacteria. RNAcentral also lists the same sequence under 1 other name. Lineage: Bacteria; Bacillati; Actinomycetota; Actinomycetes; Propionibacteriales; Nocardioidaceae. The record is from RNAcentral.
ACACGUCCCCACGGGAGCUCGCGGCAGCGGGCUGAGAGGGAGCUGAAUUCCGCUCCGACCGUUACACCUGAUCCGGGUAAUGCCGGCGAAGGAAGCGAUCCGAUGCUGUCC